GAUGAACGCUGGCGGCGUGCCUAAUACAUGCAAGUCGAGCGAACGGACGAGAAGCUUGCUUCUCUGAUGUUAGCGGCGGACGGGUGAGUAACACGUGGAUAACCUACCUAUCAGACUGGGAUAACUUCGGGAAACCGGAGCUAAUACCGGAUAAUCUUUUGAACCGCAUGGUUCAAAAGUGAAAGACGGUCUUGCUGUCACUUAUAGAUGGAUCCGCGCUGCAUUAGCUAGUGGGUAAUGUCACGGCUUACCAAGGCAACGAUGCCUAGCCGACCGGAGAGGGUGAUCGGCCACAUUGGAGCUGAAACACGGUCCAGACUCCUACGGGAGGCAGCAGUAGGGAACCUUCCGCAAUGGGCGAAAGCCUGGCGGAGCAACGCCGCGUGAGUGAUGAAGGUCUUCGGUUCGUAAAACUCUGUUAUUAGGGAAGAACAGAUGUGUAAGUAACUGUGCACAUCUUGACGGUACCUAAUCAGAAAGCAACGGCUAACUACGUG
RNAcentral lists this ribosomal RNA (497 nucleotides) under uncultured bacterium. RNAcentral's name for it is "partial 16S ribosomal RNA". It matches the Rfam family "Bacterial small subunit ribosomal RNA", at positions 28 to 507 of the family's 1533-position model. The record is from RNAcentral.